This is a long non-coding RNA of Gasterosteus aculeatus aculeatus (three-spined stickleback), 1108 nucleotides long. The record is from Ensembl. NCBI's taxonomy places the organism in Eukaryota, Metazoa, Chordata, Actinopteri, Perciformes, Gasterosteidae.
UUGUUGUCCUACACUGUCUACUGUCACGCACCAACCGCCAAGACAAAUUCCUUGUAUGUUUGACAUAUUUUGGCAAUAAAUGUUUCCUUAUUCCUGAUUUAAAACGGCACAAUGCUGCUGCCUUAAAUGAGCCCAAGUAAUCUAAGUAUGUUUUUCACAAUGUGGUGUAGUUUAGUUAACAGCAUUACCACCCACCUUAAAAAACUAUUCUGUUUCAAACUUCUUGAAAGAGCAGUUUAGUUGCGUUUCUCUAAAUCUUAAACAUUGUUCAAAUGUAUUGUGUGUGUAUUAAAGUCUAGAUUAUAUUGUUCCUUUGGGUCAAGGAGCUCCAUUAAAACAUAUCAGUGAUGACUUGUUCCUUCAUUGUCAUGAACGAACACCGUCAAAUGACAAAACAACAAAUCCUACCAUUUCAUUGUUUGAUACAAAAACUACUGUGCUGUUUCAAUUCUUUAAGGGAAGUUAUAAAGUAAAAGUACUUCCUUUUACAUCUUCAGGUAGCUGAAAAGUUUAAAGACUAAAACUGGUUCUAAUCCAACAUGAAAGCUUUUCAGUUUGAGCUCUAAUCUUAAUCUUUCACUUGGAGCAGCUGCUUUGCAUUCGUUUAAAGGUUCAGUUUCUCAGCGAACACAAGGAUUCUAGAAGUUACAUCAGAGAAGUUCACGAAGUCAGAAGCUCAAAGAAUCAGGAUUCCGGACAAAUCUGUGGAAUAAUGUAGUUUAAAAGUAAAAAGGGCAGGAGGAAGGAGAAAAAAAAAACUUUGAACUCUUGUGUGAGCCUUCGGAUGGUGACGUAAGCUGUGACAAAGAGAUCCAUGCACCUCGAGUCUGUAACGCAAAAGAAAAGGCGUGAGAUAGAUAGCACACCGUUUUAUUAGUAUAUUUAGCUUUGUGACAUACAGCUCGGGAGGAAAAACAAAAACAAAAAAUAAACGGUCACAAUUUUUUUGAAGUCCAGAAACAUUUCAGCCUUAGCAGGGACAUCACACAAAAGAAAGCUCAGUUCUUGGAUCAUUGAUUUCUUUGUCAUGGACCAGAGUGAUAUGUUCUCGUUGUGCUAAACAAAAAUGUCUGUACCGCUCAAACAGUCAACAAAUAAAAAUAAAAAC